UAGGGAAUUUUCCACAAUGGACGAAAGUCUGAUGGAGCAACGCCGCGUGCAGGAGGAAGGCCCUCGGGUCGUAAACUGCUUUUAUUGGUGACGAUUUUGACGGUAGCCAAUGAAUAAGGACCUGCUAACUACGUGCCAGCAGCCGCGGUCAUACGUAGGGUCCAAGCGUUAUCCGGAAUUACUGGGCGUAAAGAGUUGCGUAGGUGGCAUAGUAAGUUAGUAGUGAAAGCGUGCGGCUCAACCGCAUAUCCAUUACUAAAACUACUAAGCUAGAGUAUGGGAGAGGUAGAUGGAAUUUCUAGUGUAGGAGUGAAAUCCGUAGAUAUUAGAAGGAACACCGAUGGCGUAGGCAGUCUACUGGCCCAUUACUGACACUAAGGCACGAAAGCGUGGGGAGCGAACGGGAUUAGAUACCCGCGUAGUCC
RNAcentral lists this ribosomal RNA (425 nucleotides) under uncultured bacterium. Its description in RNAcentral is "bacterial SSU rRNA". It matches the Rfam family "Bacterial small subunit ribosomal RNA", at positions 355 to 796 of the family's 1533-position model. The record is from RNAcentral.